Molecule: ribosomal RNA, 397 nt
Filed under: uncultured bacterium
Lineage: Bacteria
Description: partial 16S ribosomal RNA
Rfam family: Bacterial small subunit ribosomal RNA
Source: RNAcentral
AAUAUGGGUCAAUGGUCGCAAGCCUGAUCCAGCCAUGCCGCGUGAGUGAUGAAGGCAUUAGGGUUGUAAAGCUCUUUCACCGAAGAAGAUAAUGACGGUAGUCGGAGAAGAAGCCCCGGCUAACUUCGUGCCAGCAGCUGCGGUAAUACGAAGGGGGCUAGCGCUGUUCGGAUUUACUGGGCGUAAAGCGCACGUAGGCGGAUUGGUCAGUUAGAGGUGAAAUCCCGAAGCUCAACUUCGGAACUGCCUUUAAUACUGCCAGUCUCGAGUCCGGAAGAGGUAAGUGGAACUCCUGGUGUAGAGGUGGAAUUCGUAGAUAUUAGGAAGAACACCAGUGGCGAGGGCGGCUUACUGGUCCGGAACUGACGCUGAGGUGCGAAAGCGUGGGGAGCAAACA